Molecule: non-coding RNA, 11293 nt
Organism: Coturnix japonica (Japanese quail)
Lineage: Eukaryota; Metazoa; Chordata; Aves; Galliformes; Phasianidae
Source: RefSeq, a predicted model, not a curated record
UGAGAAAGUGAGUCAUUUAGAGAAACACAGCCUGCAGUACUCAGCUCUCACCCUGCUUCCAGGGGAGGGGAGAGCCCUGCAGGUGGGCUUGGAAGGGAGGGAGAGCAGGAGAAGCAUUUUGCUUCUCCCUGAGGAUUUUUAAUCUGACCUUGGAAAAGUCACGUAGCCUCGUUAGGAUUUAGGCCAUGAACUGGGAAUAGAGGCCUGGCCUUGCACAGAAGGGUGUUUUUUUAUAGGAUGACACUAUAAGAGCUGUGAAACUGUUGGCUUCUGUGCUAACGGGGUCUUUCCAGGAGCCUUGGGCAGGGAGGGUGAUGAAAGCACAGAUGUAAUAACUGGCUGGAAAUAUAUAAAAGGUGGAUGCAAAGACAGAGAGAGGAUGCCAUUCCCCAUGGAUAGGGGAUAGGAAAAGAAGUACUAUCCUGAAAUUACAGCAAGGAAAGAGAUGGGGAUAAUUAUUAUGAAAAAUCUUCUGGAAGUGCAGUGCUGAAUGCUGGAAUGGAUUGUCUGGGGAGAGGGAGGACUCCUCAGCCUUGGGAUUUUAACCCUGGUCAGAUGCACAUCUGCUUGGGGAUGUCCAGGUGGGGCUGCUUCAGUCUGGUUUUCUUCUGGCUGCACACAGAGAGGAGCUGACUGCACCCCUGAACAGGAUGGCUUUUAGCAGGUCCCUCUAUGACUAAUAGUUUCAGCACAUCCGAGUGCAAAGAAGACAAAUAUUUAACUUGCCUAAUUAUUUGCUUCACUCAGUCUGUCCUAGUGUUCUUUGAUAUUUUUCCUUCUCCCAGUGGCAUGGUACCUUGUGGCUCGAGGUGAGUUUGAUGAACAAGAUUGAACUGGAAUCUUUGAGUAGGAAUCCUCCUAAGCCCCAACACUGGAAACCUGGUGAAGAGUGAAGUGGGAAAUACAUACCUGUGAGCUCCCAGGCUCCUGUGCCUGGCGGACACUGCAACAGGAUCCAGCAUAAGUGAGAUAUCUCCUGUCUGGUUGAAAUUGAUCUAAAUCUGCACUACAGCUGAAGGUCUAAACCCACUCCAUUAUUUUACAUUCAUCCCCACUUCAGCAUGACUUCCUGCCAUCGAACAAACCUUACAGAAACAAUAGAAUGGUAUGGCUUGGGUCUGCAAGACAGCUGAAUGCAGGGGGAGGCAGUGAUGUUUACUGAAGGUAGCUGGUAUCUCUUAGCACAAGUCCAGUGCUCUGCAGCUUGGGACUAAGAGCUGCUGCUUGUUCCUGAGCCAACAGAUUCUGACUAGCUUCUCUUGCUGCUAAAGAGCAGCAUUUUGCUGCAUAAGCCAUCAUGUGAGCUUUACAGUCAUGGUAAUUUCUCCAUGGCUAACCCUCAGUGAGGCAUGCGGUCAUGUUAUGCUUCAAACAUAAGCUGAUUUUGCUUUGGAAGUAAGAUACCACAUUUCCUGGCACCCACACUGAGCAUUCUCUCCUCUCACACACAUGCAGCCAGUGUUCGGCUUAGAAUCCUCUAUGCUUAGAAUAGUGAUAGCCCAUUUCUCCUCCAUCCACCCCCCCCCCAGAUUUGUUCACCGUGGGUGAUCAGCCAUUUCCAGCUUCUUCAGAGACAAAACCUUUCUUUGCUUUAAUCUUUGAGGGCUGCAGAAGUGACAAAGCAAUGAAAGAUGGGAAUGAAUUUCUCUGCCAGCCUUCAUGCAAUUACUAAGUACUACAUUCAGAAGCUUUAGUUUGACAAUAUACGAAUAAAGGCAGAAACAGCAUUUCACUGCAGAUUAUCUAUCCCACCUGGGUCAGGGCAGGAUGUCAUGAUGCACAGUGCCAAAAAGAGCAUGGCCUGACUUCGAGCCAGGCUGAAGUUUCAGAGUUGGCAGCUGAAAUCUUGUUUCAUCACAGGUGGGGUGAUAAACCAUUCCAUCUAUGAUUCUGGAGAGAAUAUUUGUUUGCAUUGCCUGAGCAGGUAACAUUUGCAGAACAGGGGCCCCUUUUACAGUGGAGGACAAAGACUAGCAAGGUGACUGCUUCAGGAAGCUGCUGUUGAAGGACCAUUUUGCAGUUAUAGGCUGAUUUGGACUGGUAUUUGACUGAGAAGGCAGGAGAAUGUUGGAAAGCAGGGACACAUCUUUGAUGCUUAUGCGGGAAUGAAGGGAUCCCUGUGUUGUAUCCAUUACAGUGUAUGUAUAAUAGUGGUGGCCAUUCUUACUCAGCUCUAUAGGAGCAGUUUUCUUCUGGCUAAUUCACCAGCUGUGUGCUAACAGCAGCUUCUGGGGCUCACAUGAACAAUGGUGCAUAGUGCACAUAUUCCAUAGGAUAAAAAGUAAUAAUAAUACUGCUUUGUCUCAGGCAUAACUAGUAAUUCGACCAUGCUUUUCUUCCACAUCAUAGUGCUAUACAGCACUACUGAACACCAUACUAAAAGCUAAAACAAUGUUCUUUAUGGGAAGCUUGUAGAGGUGUCCCUGCCUAUAGCAGGGGGUUGAAACUAUAUGAUCUUAAAGGUCCCUUCCAACCCAAAUCAGUCUAUGAUUCUAAGAUAAAUGCUUAAAGGCAUCCCCUGGCCAGCCAUCAUCCUGAGUCAAUAUUGAAAGACAGACGUAAUUCAUUGAAAUACUGUUAAUUAAUUAGAGUGUGGCCUGGACCACAACAGCGUGGGUUCUGAACACACAGGUUUACUUCUGUUUGGUUACUGAAGGAUUUGUGAAAAGGCUAAAGACAAGUUUAGAAGAUGGCUCAAGAGGAAAGCUGCUCGCUGGUGUGAAAGCAUUAAUUAUUGAGACAAAUUUAGCUGGUUGGAACACUGCAUAAAUCAGCACACGGCCUGAAACUUUUAUGGAGAUAAUUGCAUGCGCCUUUGCAGAUGUUGAAUUUCUAAGCACCAGAGCUUUGGAGCUGGCAAAUACGAAGGCAGACGUAAAUGGACCCGGCUGCUUUCAGGUUCCUGCUCAGGCAGACAGCCGGAAGAGAUUUAAUUUCUCCUGCAAAAAGUGAAACUAACUGAGUGUCACUGUUGAAAUUCCAUACACUUCCCAUUUAUUACUUCUAUGUAAAGAUGUAUUGUAGAUAGUCAUAGAACCAGAACAGACAAGUUUACACUAACUCAGGCUACAUGACAAGCCUGCCAAAAACUUGAAAUCAUUGUGGGGUAUCUGAUAACACAUUACUAACACUGCAAAGUGGCUGAAUGUCCCAUCAUCUUUCCUUCCUCACCUCUCUCAGAAUCUAAGUAGAGCAGGAAGCUUUCAGAGCUGCUUCAAGGUGUUAUAGAUGAAAUCUACCACUUUUAUAAAGACUUUUUUUUUUUCCUUUUUUUUUCUUUUGUGGUGGACUUCCUUGCAAAAUAACAGGCAGUGGUAACAAAGUGAUGGUUGAUGUAUGGUCUGACUCUGAAAUGGAAGAUGUAGCAAAAUGCCUGACGAGAAAGGCUCAUCCUUUUGUACUGGUGUGAAGAUGACAUCAAGUAAUGCUGUAUGUGUGCUUACCCCCAACCUGAUGCAGGAAAUCAAGCACUGGGAUCAACUUACCAUGACUGAUUGCUAUCCCAUUUAAGGUUUCCUUUGCUGUCCAAAUUCCUUAACCAAUAUUGCUUCAGCUGCUUAAGGAAUAGAAACAUGAACGUUUGGUCUCAAUUCAGCAAAGUACUUUAGCAUUCAUCUAACACCAAGCACACAGGAAAGCUGAUUUUCAGGGGUCAUGACCAAAAAGCCUCACAAAUAGGAGAAGUCGAUAGUUUUUAAGUCAGAAAGAAGAAAUAAGAAAAUUCCUGUGAUUUCUGCUAAAGAGGUACCCACAUAACCCCAUAACCCAUGGGGGAAUAUGCUCACCUGGCAGCGGACGUGGGUGAGGCUGCCUCAGCCAGUGGAGCCCCUUAGCAAGCAGCAAGUAAGCAGCUAAGGCUUUGGUUGAGGUAGUGCUCAAUUACAUCGAGAUUGCCUGGGGAGGACAGGGAGUCUGCGACUGGGGGUCCUCGAGGGUGACCUCAGGAACAGUGCACUCAAGCUGAUCCUUUGUGAGAGCAGGAUGAUGGAGCAGGUAACUGUCAGAGGUCCCUUCACAGGGAUUUCAUGGUCCCAACAGAGUUGUAAUAACAUGAAUAAAGGGUCAGACAUUUUACACCUCAUUUGUGUGCCCUGUAAUGGAAGAGUGUUAGGUAACUGUUACAUCAGUUGUUAUUGAUAAAACACCAUCUAUCACGUAAUAUUUUAAUUUGUAGGUAUGGAUUUCACCAUGAGAUAGAACCCACUAGAUUCUAAAUCACUGUUGAUGUUUUUUCAAGCACGUUUUCAUUCUUAUUUGUUCUUAAGCUGAACAAUCUGAUCCUUAGGAUAUGAUUGUAAAACGCAGUUUCCAAUGACCGUAAAUUCUAUGAAAAACACAGAUCUGAUAAAACAGCUUUUAUUUCCUCGUUGGACUGACAGCAUGUUCCCUCACACUAGCUGAUAUUUUCAGAUUGAUUGCUAGGAGCAAGUUAUACAUUAAAGGAAGAAAGAAGAAAGAAAAAAAAAACCCAGAGAGACUGAUACCACACGUCAUGUCACUGAUACACAAGGUGGCAUUGCCAGGAUAGACUGACUGAGCAAAUCACCAAUUUAAUUUGGAAUUAAAUGCACUGAGGUGGAUAUUUUUUACAAUUAGUGAUGAUGUGGCUCCAGAAGUAAUUUAUUCCUUCUUGCUGGGAUAGCUGAUGAAUUAUGUGUUUGUGAUGCAUGCUGGCAGGGUGUAGUCAUACUUUUCAGGAACAGAUGAAUGGCUGAGAAAACCCUCCCUGCUAUGCAGUUAUUAGUCAGCUUGCAUUCACAUGGGAAAUAGGUCUGAGAAGUGACUACAGCUUUGCUGCAUGGAGAGAGCUUGAAAGCCAGCUGCUGGUUGCUAAAGAAGCAAAACUCCCUAAAACUUUCCUCACCAUCUUUUGGGAACAUUGUGCUACCAGGAUAAAAUUUGUCCUGUAUGGGAAGCAGUGAGUUCACUCUUAACCCUGGGGAGAGGUAGUGCAGCCACAAAGAGUGGCUUCUCCUUUCCCGUCAUCCUGCAUGGAUCUUGCACCCAUGUAGGCUGUGCCCAGAAAACCUGUUGAGUCUUUUUGGAAGGCAUAAAGGGACACGAAGGGCAGAAAAUUUGUCUCUGAGGAUGAGGAGGAUGCCUCAGCUCAGCUUGCUUGGAGAACUAUUGUGAGCAUUAUCACCAGCAAACACAUGGAAUUUAUCUCAGUUCCAUGCCUGCCAUCUUCCAAGUUAUUUAGGAACACAUCUUGAGGGAUAGGUGAGGUAAUUUGGUGAGUCAGAGAAAGGUUAUGAUUGAGUGGCUGCAGUGUUUGAACAGAAAGCAUCACUGUCUGGGACUGGUCAGCUUCCUUUUUUCCUCAGAAUAGCAUCUGAGAGCUGAAUGAACCUCCUCACUUCUGGUGGGCUGACCCUGGGAGGAAGUGGUAGAGAAAUCAGCUGGGAGUAACCAGCUAUUCAAAACAGAUCAAAAUCCUAACCAAAAAACUUCCUGAAAGGGUUACAGGGGAGAGGAUGUGGAAACACCCAGGACAUUCAGAACCUGCUAGCCAGCAAACUUUUGAAAAGAAACAGCAAAGCAAUGAGGCCUCUCCUCCACUAAUCGAGAGACAUAAAGAGUUGAAAUACCCCCUGGAACUGAUGGAAAAUCAGGUCAGAAACAGAAAUAUUCAUGCAUUCACUCUACUGGAGGGUAAAGAAUUUCCAAACCUGAUUUCUUUUGUGGAAACCUGGCUUCCUAAGGCUUGGAACAAGAUGUAGAGAAUAUCCCACUGCAUGUGGUGUGCUGGUUCAGGAUCCCUGCCAGGGCCAUCACUCCCAAUAACAAGCAAAACCAAAUUGAGCUGCCAAGUUCCAAAUGUUCAUGGGAAAGGCAGGCUCCAUGACUGCAGUGAGGAAGCACGGGUUCAUUUACUUCCAAUUCAAUCUGACUGUCCUCACUUGUUUUGCCGCUGCCUCAGAUAACGCGGUUUCUUGUACUGACACAGAGCCCAGUGAAAGUACACCCACAAUUUAAGAUAAGAGAUGAAACUUGUGGAAACAAGAAACCUUCUGGGGCACUGUGGGCUGUGAUGCCUCUGCUUGAGAAGUUCAGAAGCAGAUGUGAGAUGUCCUUCUGUGGAGGACAGCCUUCAAGUCUAUGCAAUAUAUGUCCUUUCCCUGACACUAAAUGCUCUCACUUUCCUAUUCUUUUCUUCCAGGGCUUUCUUCUCCCAUGCUUUCCUGCCAAUAUGCUGACUGAUAUAGGCUGUUGUGGGCUAUUGCCCUGGUUCAAGUGUGUGGUUGUGCUUCCAGUCACCGCCAGGAAAUGUCAGUGUGAUUCUGGGGCAGCUCCCAGUUCUGUUCAGCCCCAAAGCUCCCCAAUAGAAUUGUGAUCUUAUGAUUUCAGUGACUUUCUGCAGUGACAACUGUUGGUGGCUUCCAGCUCCUCACUGCCAUUAACCAGCUCAUUGCAAUGCUUUAGGCACUCAGACAGACUCUUUUGAAAUGUUUUUGACGUUUUCUUGAUGUAACGUUGUCUCUUCCUCAGUAUUUUAACUUUUGAUACUAUGUUGAGUACAUGGAAAGAAAAAGAAGAAAAUCUCUCAUAUUUGUCUGGAUGGGUGAGUCUAAGACUAUUUGUAAAACUGUAAAAGAUACUCCAAAAUAUUUGGCUUAAUCAUCUGUAUUUUAAUUUUAAAAUAUUUUAAAAACAAUAUAUAACAAAAAGAAAACAAAGGAUAAAGAUUAAAUAUACUUGUUCAGUUAUUUGCAGGCUUUCUUGUAAAGAUACUCUGUGUGAGGGACCCCUGAGCUGCUAGGCCAGCUGGAGAGGUGUCACUGUUCUGACAGCAUGGAGGUACCCCAGUGCUCAUUAAACCUGAUUGGAUUUGUACUUUAUCAGCCAACUGCAUUCAGAUUUUGCAACAUCAAGAACUGUUUGAGGUCCCCCUCCAACACAAGCCUCUCUUUGUCUUAAUGUCUUCCUCCUGAUGUGAUGAAUCACUCUGUGAAGCUGCUGGCCUCUCUCUAUUGCAUAUGGGGUGCUCAGGCCACCUCAGAGGCUGUGAACUGGGAGGGACGAAUUUAUGAACACAUAUGCACAUGGUCUUCUCUGCCCCAGGAAAUAAAAAAGGGGCUGGCAGCAAACUCUGAGCAGCACUGCUGUCACCAGCACCUGGCAAAACCCUUGUUUUCAGCUCAGAAGCUCACGUACUGCAUGUUCCAAGGUGGCAGGUCCAGGCAGGAGCAGGGAGAGGUCUCACGGCUCCAGUGCACCUAAGGCAGACCAAGGUGUGACUCAGUGAGCAAACACAGAUGAGCAGUAAAGCAUCAGCUGGCCUUGCUGCUAAUCUCUGAUGUGUCUGUUGGCUUCCCAAAGGAUUGAGAAGUGAGGGAAUAACCAGACAAGGCAAAAGAAUGGUGAAAAAUAUUUGCCUCUUUUUGAUGUAAAUAUAUUUCCAGAACAACAUCCCUCACUGAUGACAUUCUUGUAAGAAGGAAAUAAUUAGCAGAAAUAGUAAAGGAACCAAAUUCAUGUAUCACUAAAUAUCAGUAGUAAUGGUAUGAGUAUUUUCGACUAAUACUUCAUAUUCUUUUGCAAAAAUGAGGGGAGUAUGCACUAGGGAAUGGUGCUGCAUCAUCUAAAGAAAUAGCAACUCUUGUGUUUCCCUAAUUCUUCUUAAGUUGUGCCAGGGGAUGUUCAGGUUGGAUACUAGGAAAAAAUCCUUCUCAGAAAGAGUGGUGAUGCAUUGGAACAGGCUGCCCUGGGAGGUGAUGGACUCCCUGUCCCUGGAGGCAUUCAAGGAAAAAGUAGAUGUAGCAAUGAGUGUCAUGGCUUAGUGAUACAGUGGGGAUGGAUGAUCUUUGGACUAGAUAAUCUUAGUGGUCUUUCCAAACUUAAUGAUCCCAUAAUUCUUUCUCUCCGGUGUCACAUCAGUAUCUUGUUAGACCAGCACACAUGAGUGGGAGGCUCUGAAGAAAUCCCACUGAUCUCAUGGCACAACUUCAUAUUUUCCAAGUGAUUCCAGUCCUUGGGAACUGAGGGUGCUUUCUUGAAAAGCAGUUUCUUCCCACUUUAUAGUUUGGGACAUGCUGUAUAAACACUAGUAGAGGCUACAUAGCAUGUUGGUAAAUUCACACAGAACUAGCACUGCGCUCCAGCUUACAUCAGUGUUGCCAUGCAGUAGAAAAUACUUCCUCACCUCCAAAUAGGCACUGCUUCAAAAAUGCAGUCCAUCAGUGUGACUUCAUAUUACCUAAGCUGCUAUUACUGCCCUCUGUGCAAUACUUGCUACCUUAUGUGAAAAGGAAAAGCAGGAAAAUGUAGGAAAAUCUUUUACUGUUUUUUUUUUUUUCUUUAGAUAUUUAGUAUAAUUUUCUAAUGUUUUGUGCAAAAGUUCUGCACAAAAUUGCCUGGCCUCAAGACACUGUGCGUUACAGGUGCUGUAAAUGUUAGAGGGACCUCCUGGGAGCCCCAACUGUUUUCACAGGGAUAAAUGUAGGCAGAACAGUUGUUUGUAAUGAAUAUCAUUGAACAAACUGAAUGUUCAAUUUGUGAAUUGUCCAUGAGAAGAUGGCAAUUUUCUUGAGCUGUUUGGUGAAUCACUUCUGAAAUCUUUCUUCACUGGCAGUUGAAUUCAUAAAAGCAUUCAGAGGAAUAUCAUAUCCUCUCCAAGUUCCUAUAGCCGCUCCAUACCUAUCCUGUGAUGGCUGAGCUGUGGUCAGAAACACAUCAUCUUGGGCCAAACAGUUUUGGGGAACUACUAAUUAUUUGAAAGGUAGAGAUGAAGGUAAACCUUUGACAGGUGACGUGUAAGCAGCAAAUGCUUAUUCUGGUGAUGAUCAAGUGCUUCACAUGAUUUAUUCAGAGUUACCAAUUACUUGAUCCUGACCUUGUACAAUAGAGUCACUGAGGAAGGAAAGACUACUAAAGGCCAUGUAGCUCAAUCAUCAACCCAUUACAACCAUACUACUAAAUCACGUCACUCAAUGAAACAUCUGCCCUUUCUUAAACACCUCCAAGAACAAUGACUCCACCAUCUUUCUGGGCAGCCUGUUCCAAUACCUCAUGUUGUUCACAAACAUUCAGCUGACCCAAGGAGAACCUUCUUUGACAUCGUUCAUCCCUACCAGCAGCAAGGCUGUUGUGAAAAUCACCUCAGCUGAAACAGUUUACAAGUAGGAAAUUAGCUGGAAAUAAGGUCACCUGGGAAGAAACCCCCACCUCCAAGUUUCCUAAGAGACUUUAAAUCUAUGGCUGGAAGGGAGGUCUUAGUGGUAGGUGCAAACAGGAGAAGGUUCAGAAGAUAAUGUUUGUGUUUCUGUUGGCACUAUCAUGCCAAAUCGUUCCAAAAUGGUAUAGAUUGCGGAGGAUUGCUUUUACUUAGGCUGAACUUGGUGUUUCCUCUUUGUGUCCCCAGGAUGAUGGCUUAUGUUGAAGGUGAGUGAAGGGUGGAAUUUAUGGGGUUGUUUUCUCCUCCUUGUUAUUCAGUGGGAUGUAGUGCUUUGUAGGAGGGGUGUUUCUGAAGAGCUGAGAGGAAGGUAAGAGAUACAAAUGAUGUUCAUACAGGCAAAGCAGUCCCCUUCUCCAUCUCCCAACACUCAAUGCAAAUGGCUACCAACAAAAUCUGCCUUUUGUGGUGAGAGGGCUAGAGGAAGGCUAGUGAGAAUGAAAGUCAUGGGCUUCUUGAACGGGAAAGAAGACAAAGCCUUUUUUAAUGCUCGUGUUUGUGUUCUAAUCACAGCAAAAGAAAAGGCUAGAGGAAGUUUUAUCUUUUGGUCACAAAAGAAGUAUUGACCGAGCCUCAAAUAAACCCAGAAAAAAUCUCUUCUGGUAAGAGUUAGCAUAGCACAGAGCAGUGAAAAUUAAAGGAUUCACAGAGUUUCUCAUUUAUUCAGGAGCUAGUGUUCCCUGAGAGCCCAGAGCCUAUUUGAUUUAGCCUAACAAAGACAACUUGCUGUGGGUAUCUAUCAUCCAUCUGGGUAUGAGCCCAGUAUCUUUUCAGGAGAGUAAGCUCAGAGUACCAAGCAAUUAACAGAAAACCCUAAAUUACAGGUGAUCAGGGUUCAGCCCAGAGCUCCUACUGGUGGGUGUGUGAUCAGUCUUCCUAAAACCAAAUGUCUGUAGUUAAAAAGGAAAAAAAAAAAAAAAAAGCUGCUUUAGUCUAUUAAUGAUUUCAUAAAUACACGUGUCUGAGUAAUGAUUCCCUGUGUUAUGUCUUCCUCCCACUCGCAUUAAGCCAUCAUGCAUGGCUAAUCAAAAACUUCGCAUUAAGUCCUCCUGGUUUACCCAUUCUGUGCUGAGAAAUUGUGCUGGUGUUCAGCAAAUCACUGACCCUUACAAGUACAAAAUCAUUCAUUGUAUUUAUAUAAGUCAUCCUACAGGCCAGAUUUAUGGGGCAGACAAAGUAGGUGCACCUGUGCUGGUCCAGUGGUAAUUUCAUCAUGUUAUGUCCAGGGGGAGUCUGCUUAUGGGCAGCUUUGAAUGAAGUUUGGUGAGAAUGACACAGCUGGCCAGCAAGAAGGGGUGAGCAGGAACAAGGCUCCCUAUGAAACUGGCUUUUGUGGCUCUUCUAUUUCUAAUAACCGAUAUUAAAGAAAAAAAUAAUAUUCCUUUUUGAGCAAGAGGGGGGAAAAGAACACUCAUUGUCCGCAAUGAGGAUUAACAAGGCAGUUUACCUUAAUGGAAGGGAGGAAGCCUACUUAUGGAACAUACGGUGGAGAAGAUGACUGUUUUUUUUCUUGCAGUUGUUUGCCUUGCCUCCCUGUUGUUCUUUCUUUUUAUUAAUUUCUCUAAAACAGGCUUAGAAAGUGGUACAAAUCAUGUUAUUUGUUAAUAUGCCAACCUGCUGAGGGGAGAAGUUUAGUGGCCUGUGAAGAGAAUGAGCACAAAUCUUGUGAUUUGUUAAUCGCUUCUGCAUGUGUGAAUUUCAGUGACUGUUUUAAGUGUUUAUCUUCUUUCUUCUGCAAGGAUUUCUGUUUGUUACUUUUAAUUCCUCCCUGAGCCCAAACCUGGGAGGGGGGAUGGACAUAUAGGAGAUAACACUUGCAAGGAAUGAUUUAUGGCCUUCAACUUUCCACUUGGAAUCUGGAAAAACAUCUCAAGUUCUCCAUCAUGGUGAAGGAAAGAAAUAGUUUUGUUUAAGUAAGAAGCUUCACUUCUUGGCAUUACUAUGAGGAUGUGUCACUCCAUGGCAAGUUACAACAGCGCUGUCUGCAAGGGAAUAGAUCAGUCACAGAAUUAGCCCUGGCUUGUCACAAACUUCUGGUGAACCAGUAAAUGGCCAGUCUCAACACACUGUUUUGCAGCUAUUAUGCAAAUUUAUCAAUAAAUAGACAACUCAGCUUGCUUG